Molecule: ribosomal RNA, 143 nt
Filed under: Entoloma flavovelutinum
Lineage: Eukaryota; Fungi; Basidiomycota; Agaricomycetes; Agaricales; Entolomataceae
Description: partial 28S ribosomal RNA
Rfam family: Eukaryotic large subunit ribosomal RNA
Source: RNAcentral
UUGACCUCAAAUCAGGUAGGACUACCCGCUGAACUUAAGCAUAUCAAUAAGCGGAGGARAAGAAACUAACAAGGAUUCCCUUAGUAACUGCGAGUGNNNNNNGAAAAGCUCAAAUUUAAAAUCUGGUGGUCUUUGGCUGCCCG